Non-coding RNA from Trichobilharzia regenti, 46 nucleotides. NCBI's taxonomy places the organism in Eukaryota, Metazoa, Platyhelminthes, Trematoda, Strigeidida, Schistosomatidae. The record is from Rfam.
GUACUGCUGAAGAGUCCCAAACUAGGACGAAACAGAUGUCCAGAAC